UAUUAUUAAAAAAUAGUAAAAAUUAAUUUUUAUAAAACACAUUUCUUCUUAUUUCUUUCCUUCAGAUAAAAUCGGAUAAUUCCUGUGACGCUAAAAAAGUAAUUGAUUUCUUCUCGAAAAGUAACUAGUCCGGUAUUUCAAAGAACAAGUGCAAGCUUCAGAGAAGAAAUUAACAGCUUUGAAAGAUGUCUUUCUAAAAAAAAGUGGAAGCGCUGAAGAAGCCAGAGAUUUGAUUUUAAAUUGUCUGCAAAAAGAGAUCUGGUUACACCCAGUGGAUUAUAAACCGGAAGAAAUUGAUGAGAAAGAAAAA
Molecule: long non-coding RNA, 310 nt
Organism: Cotesia glomerata
Lineage: Eukaryota; Metazoa; Arthropoda; Insecta; Hymenoptera; Braconidae
Exons: 2
Source: RefSeq, a predicted model, not a curated record